UACGUAGGGUGCAAGCAUUAAUCGGAUUUAUUGGGCGUAAAGGGCGCGUAGGCGGCCCUUCAAGUCAGGUGUGAAAUUCCGGGGCUCAACCCCGGAGCGGCACUUGAAACUAGAGGACUAGAGGCUAGGCGGAGAAAACGGAAUUCCACAAGUAGCGGUGAAAUGCGUAGAUAUGUGGAAGAACACCAGUGGCGAAGGCGGUUUUCUAGCUUAGACCUGACGCUGAGGCGCGAAAGCAAGGGGAUCAAACAGG
RNAcentral lists this ribosomal RNA (253 nucleotides) under uncultured bacterium. RNAcentral describes it as "partial 16S ribosomal RNA". It matches the Rfam family "Bacterial small subunit ribosomal RNA", at positions 524 to 776 of the family's 1533-position model. The record is from RNAcentral.